RNAcentral lists this transfer RNA (70 nucleotides) under Alcelaphus buselaphus (hartebeest). RNAcentral's name for it is "tRNA-Thr". Lineage: Eukaryota; Metazoa; Chordata; Mammalia; Artiodactyla; Bovidae. The record is from RNAcentral.
GUCUCUGUAGUACAUUAAAUAUACCGGUCUUGUAAACCGGAGAAGGAGAAUAGCUAACCUCCCUGAGACU